GAGGGCGGAGGGAGAUUCUCCCUCUUCCCCCCGACAGUUUUGGCAUAGUCGGCAGGAUCCACACUGGCUGGCAAGUUGCCUUCUCUGGCUGGAAGACCUGCCUUCUCCCUGGACUACUGCAGAUGAUGAGAUACGGGAACGCCUGACAAAAGCCGGCAAAAAGGACACAAUUGGAAACACUGGUUAUAUUACCAAGGUUGUGACUGGAACAUCAUAUUUGCGAUAUAACCAUACAGCUUUUGAGGAAUGAAGAAUGGACUUUAUGGAAUAAAGCCACGUGGAAAUAUUGGCCUGGUACCUUAUGUUCCAAGCAGCACUUACCAGGAUAAGUAAAGAAUGUCACUUAUCUGGCAGCUGUACAAACUGAAG
Diceros bicornis minor is the source of this 369-nucleotide long non-coding RNA. RefSeq lists it as uncharacterized. NCBI's taxonomy places the organism in Eukaryota, Metazoa, Chordata, Mammalia, Perissodactyla, Rhinocerotidae. The record is from RefSeq and is a predicted model, not a curated record. The transcript has 3 exons.